Molecule: long non-coding RNA, 1721 nt
Filed under: Triticum aestivum (bread wheat)
Lineage: Eukaryota; Viridiplantae; Streptophyta; Magnoliopsida; Poales; Poaceae
Description: long non-coding RNA (TAES_LNC026285)
Source: RNAcentral
ACUUACAAUCAGUCGAAAGUUGGCUCACCACACAGAGUGGAACUGCAUCCCAUAACACACCAAGACUUGACACACAACCACCUAAUUUGUCCCAGCCAUGGACGUUUGUAUUAGCAGAUCGAUGAACCUUAUCAAAGUAAGUUGCAGACAUGAAAAAUAAAAUCUAUCUAAUUUCUAGGACACUUGCAUUUUGUUGUUGAGAAAAGGACACUAUUGCAAAGUCAGACACUUACUGUGUCAGAUAAAAAAUGAUGGUCUGCAUGCAUCAUUGUUUUCAGGCUUUGAAAACAUGAGAUAAUCUGAAGCACCCAACUCACACUUUUUUUUGAGGAAUAUGUCGAGCCCUUCAUGACAACGUCUUUGGUCCACACCUCUGCAAUGUUCAUGCAGGAUACCGUUUUGGAGAUGUGCAUACUAUCGAAGACGCGUAUUACGAACUGUCCUAAACCUCGAAGGAAACAAAGACAAUGAGUAGGAGUAUAGUGCUUGAGUGAGUAGCCCCAGGGCAUUCCACAGCUCGACCCGGCCCUGCAGUGAAAGCAACAUAUGUUCGACUGGCUCCAUCGCGGGGCAAAUAUCGCAUAAGCAUAACUGAAACCGACAGUGUCGAACAUAUGUACCAUCAGGAUGACAUACUCAAUGCACACCAGUCCGUGGGAGGCCGGAGCCUGCAGAUGCCACAAUACGCAUCGGACACCCUGACGCUGCCGCCGCUUUCUAUGCCCAGGGCGAAGUCAGCUAGGCUUCGGGCGACGGCGACGGCGGAGCCGCUGGAGGAGUAGCCAGAGAUACGACCUGGGGCAUAGGGGUUUUGGCGAGGCCGCGAGGGUGCCGUAGUGCGCUUUCUUGUUGUUCAUGCUGUAGACCAUCUCGUCCAUCACCGUAUUGGCUUGGCCAUGCCCAUCGCCGCCGCACGAGCGCGGCCAGCACUCUGCGCUGUCUCCCAUCUGUGCAGGUCGACCUCGUCCACGGCUGACUUGCAGCAGGGCUCACGUGAGCUCAAGGCGGCGGCCUCCCAUCUGCGCUGGAAGGCGGCGCCGGGCUGCGGCCAGAGAGACGGCGAGAGGGCGCAAGGUAGCCGGGCCGUAGCGACCUCGCACGCUGACGGCGGGAGGGCUGCAUAGGGCGGCAGGGCAAGCCGCAAGCAUCGUCGCCGGAGAAUGGCUGCGAGGUGUCUGGGAGUGAGGGCGUGUUGCCGGACGCAUCACGCGUCUGACUGCCAUGGCGACAUCGUGGUCUUGUGAUGCCAGAGGCGGCCGUCUCUCGAUCGCGCGCCUUUCCUACGCCGUCUUCCUGUCAUGUUCACGUCUGUCAUGAUCGAGACCCAGAAGCUCCACCGCCCUCCAUGCCGAAUCCAUUAUGAUCAUUGCACACAAUAUCGAACACAUGCAGGUGCGCGUGAUUUCUCACCUCUUAUUUGGAGCUGCCGAGGACCAUGGGAGGUGGCCCAGGCGAUCGUCUCGUUCCCGCCAUAGCCGAGCCUGAUAUGGCAGGUUCGGAGCAUCUGGUGCCCGACCUGAGGAACCGGCCAUAUGGUCAGUGGUUAUGCGAUCCCACAUACGCAAAAAGGAGGCGGAGGAGAUGCGUCUGUCAGAAGGGCGAUGGAGUGGCCAGCGUCGGGAGGGAAAACGGGGGCCCGACGGUCGAGGCUUCGUAGAGGGACAGGCCAACAGCGAAGUCAUGGAGGGGACGACCGAAGGCAUCUAUCGGUGGGAUUUGAG